Molecule: ribosomal RNA, 253 nt
Filed under: uncultured bacterium
Lineage: Bacteria
Description: partial 16S ribosomal RNA
Rfam family: Bacterial small subunit ribosomal RNA
Source: RNAcentral
UACAGAGGGUGCAAGCGUUAAUCGGAAUUACUGGGCGUAAAGCGCGCGUAGGUGGUAAGGUAAGUUGGAUGUGAAAUCCCUGGGCUUAACCUAGGAAUUGCAUUCAAGACUGCCUUGCUAGAGUACAGAAGAGGAAAGCGGAAUUCCACGUGUAGCGGUGAAAUGCGUAGAGAUGUGGAGGAACACCAGUGGCGAAGGCGGCUUUCUGGUCUGUAACUGACGCUGAGGCGCGAAAGCGUGGGGAGCAAACAGG